Molecule: small RNA, 324 nt
Filed under: Vicugna pacos (alpaca)
Lineage: Eukaryota; Metazoa; Chordata; Mammalia; Artiodactyla; Camelidae
Description: 7SK RNA (ENSVPAG00000016279.1)
Rfam family: 7SK RNA
About the family: 7SK was discovered as an abundant small nuclear RNA in the mid-70s but a possible function has only recently been suggested. Two independent studies have found that 7SK RNA binds the CDK9/cyclin T complex (known as elongation factor P-TEFb).
Source: RNAcentral
GGAAGUGAGGGUGAUCUGGCUGCAACAUCUGUCACCCCAUUGAUCACCAGGGUUGAUUCAGCUGAUAUGGCUGGCUAGGCGGGUGUCCCCUUCCUCCCUCACUGCUCCAUGUGCGUCCCUCCUGAAGCUAUGCGCUCGGUUGAAGAGGAUGAUUAUCCCUGAUAGAGGAGGACCGUUCUUCUCAGUCAAGGGUAUACAAGUAGCCGUGCUCCCCUGCUAGAACCUCCAAACAAGCUCUCAAAAGAGGAAUCAAAUGAUCCCCUUAUAUGGGCUUACUCUGACACGGUUUUCAACUUAAUGGAUAGUGCUAGCAUUUGUGAAUAG